This is a non-coding RNA of Girardinichthys multiradiatus, 690 nucleotides long. Lineage: Eukaryota; Metazoa; Chordata; Actinopteri; Cyprinodontiformes; Goodeidae. The record is from the annotation of a RefSeq genome assembly.
AGAGGAUCAACCAUGUUCUCUGUAGCUCUGAUACUGCUACUGACAGCUGGUAGCUGUGUGUACUGCAUUGAUCUGAUUCAGCCAGACUCCAAGGUUGUCCAGCCUGGACAGUCUUUGAUCAUCACCUGUCAGCCCUCUGGUUACUCUGUAAGCGAUGACAGCUAUGCAACAGGUUGGAUCAGACAGCGUCAAGGAAAACCGAUGGAAUGGAUAUUUCACAUGUGGGGUGCUGGUAACUUUUACCAAAAUGAUGCUCUGAAGAACAAGUUCAGCUACAGCAGAGACACUUCGGCAGGAACAGUUACAAUAACAGGACAGAACCUGCAGACUGAAGACACAGCUGUUUAUUACUGUGUGAGACGCCCCACAAAUGGAGCCUGGAGUGAGAUCAAACUGGAGCAGUCAGCCUCUGAGGUGAAGGGACCUGGAGAGACAGUGAAGAUGUCAUGUGUCAUUUCUGGUUUUGACAUGACAAGCUACAAUAUCCACUGGAUAAGACAGAGAGCAGGGAGAGCUCUGGAGUGGAUUGGGUAUAUGAACGCUGGUAACAACAAUCCCAGCUAUGGAAGCUCCUUUCAAGAACGUUUCAUCAUGACUGAAAAUGUCCCCAGCAGCACCCAGUUCCUUGAGAUCAGCAGCCUAACAGCAGAAGAUUCUGCUGUUUACUUCUGUGCUCGAGAAACACAGUGA